RNAcentral lists this ribosomal RNA (438 nucleotides) under uncultured bacterium. Its description in RNAcentral is "bacterial SSU rRNA". It matches the Rfam family "Bacterial small subunit ribosomal RNA", at positions 29 to 453 of the family's 1533-position model. The record is from RNAcentral.
AAUCAACGCUGGCGGCGUGCCUAACACAUGCAAGUCGAACGCGAAAGGGGCUUCGGCCCUGAGUAGAGUGGCGAACGGGUGAGUAACACGUGGGUGAUCUACCUCUGAGUGGGGGAUAACCUUCCGAAAGGAGGGCUAAUACCGCAUGACGUUCCGGGUUUGAAGACCGGGAAACCAAAGCUGGGGACCGCAAGGCCUAGCGCUUGGAGAGGAGCCCGCGCCUGAUUAGCUGGUUGGUGGGGUAACGGCCUACCAAGGCAACGAUCAGUAGCCGGCCUGAGAGGGCGGACGGCCACACUGGGACUGAGACACGGCCCAGACUCCUACGGGAGGCAGCAGUGGGGAAUUGUUCGCAAUGGGCGCAAGCCUGACGACGCAACGCCGCGUGGAGGAUGAAGGUCUUCGGAUUGUAAACUCCUGUUGAUCGGGAAGAAUGGA